Non-coding RNA from Arachis ipaensis, 814 nucleotides. NCBI's taxonomy places the organism in Eukaryota, Viridiplantae, Streptophyta, Magnoliopsida, Fabales, Fabaceae. The record is from RefSeq and is a predicted model, not a curated record.
CUUACACGAUCGUCACUGAUACCCAGGCCAAACGAAAGGGUUAGAGCCUGUGGGAUACCGACAGCAACAGAGAAGGGAAGAAAUCAAAUGGACCAGCAACCAUCCAGAUUCAGCGAGCCAAGUAACCAGAACUUAGAACUCUUCCAAAGAUAAAUAAAGCAUCAAUAACCUAAUCGUUUGAAAGACAACCCUCCAUGGUUGCACAGAGGAGGCAGAUCAUCGACACCUAUGUAAAUUCAAUGGCUGCAGCUAAUAAGGAGUGUGAUGUUGGGGAAGAAGAGGAGCGCAAUGUGAUCGGUUGCAGUGACGCAGACCACGAAGGCAGCAGCAACAGAAGCCAUAUAUAAAGGAGAUGAGUUGUAUCCCCAUGUUUUCAACUCAUGGAUGCAUUUAUGUGCUGUACCUGUAUUUCCUGAGAGCAUUCUGAGAUAUGGUCUAUGACCAUCUUGCUUGCCAAGAGUAACUGCCUUCAAUGAUGACCUCUUAUCUCAUUAUUUCAUCUAUCACAGAGAGGAACUUGAGGUCAUUUUAGUGCUUCUAUUUUCCCUGCUUCUGCUCACUUCUUUUUGUUUCUUUGAAUUUUUAAUUCAUUUUUUUGCUUUUAAGUUUAAAAUUAUUUUUAUAUGGUAUUUGAUCUUGGGGAUAGAAUUAUAAUCUCUAUUUGUGACUUGAUUUUUUAUUUCUUUUUUGCUUUUGUGACAUUGAGAAAAGAGAAAUUGACAUAAAUAACAAAGCAUUUUUUGUUUUAGCAUUUUUGUAGUCACUGAUGAGGAAGUAUUUUGGAUGUUUUAAUGUAUGUAUCUAUAACUGACAG